RNAcentral lists this long non-coding RNA (271 nucleotides) under Prunus persica (peach). RNAcentral describes it as "long non-coding RNA (PPER_LNC008224)". The record is from RNAcentral. Lineage: Eukaryota; Viridiplantae; Streptophyta; Magnoliopsida; Rosales; Rosaceae.
GUCGUUACAAGGUUCGUUGGGGGUUGGAGGGUAGUGGUUAUGGGGGAAAGAGGCGUUGGAUGGUUGUGCUGCGAUGGAGGGUGAGAGAAAUUGGUGAAAUGCUCUCAUCUCUCUGCCAAAAAAUUGAUCACGACACCCACCUUAUCCUAGUCUCCCUAGCCAAACACCCACCCUAUCGCAACCCAUCCAAACGCCCUCAUCUACCUUAUCGCAACCCACCAUCUCUUCCACGACCCAACACACUCCGGCAACUAGCCUUCAUAGCCCUAAC